CCGCAGGUGGCAACGCCUCCCCCUCCCCCACCUCGGUGGCGGCGGUGGGGGUUGUCACCCGGCGGGGACGGUGUCACCGUUUCUUGACCCCCCGACCCCCCCAUUGUCACCCCAUUGAGGGACAUUGUCACCGUUUGGGGACGGUGUCAUCGUUUCUUGACCCCAUUGUCACCCAUUGAGGGACAUUGUCACCCAUUGAGGGACACUGUUCCCAUUUGGGGAACAUUGUCAUCGUUUGGGGACGGUGUCACCAUUUCUUGACCCCAUUGUCACCCAAUUGAGGGACAUUGUCACCGUUUGGGGACGGUGUCACCGUUUCUUGACCCCAUUGUCACCCAUUGAGGGACAUUGUCACCCCAUUGAGGGACAUUGUCACCGUUUGGGGACGGUGUCCCCAUUUCUUGACCCCAUUGUCACCCAUUAAGGGACAUUGUCACCCCAUUGUGGGACAUUGUCACCGUUUGGGGACGGUGUCACCAUUUCUUGACCCCAUUGUCACCCCAUUGAGGGACAUUGUCACCAUUUGGGGACGGUGUCCCCAUUUCUUGACCCCAUUGUCACCCAUUGAGGGACAUUGUCACCCCUUUUGGGACAUUGUCACCCCUUUGUGGAACAUUGUCACCAUUUGGGGACGGUGUCACCGUUUCUUGACCCCAUUGUCACCCCAUUGUGGGACACUGUCACCAUUUGGGGACAGUGUCAUCGUUUCUUGACCCCAUUGUCA
This 724-nucleotide long non-coding RNA is filed under the name Numida meleagris (helmeted guineafowl). RNAcentral describes it as "lncRNA (ENSNMEG00000000485.1)". The record is from RNAcentral. Lineage: Eukaryota; Metazoa; Chordata; Aves; Galliformes; Numididae.